AGGGCAAGUCUGGUGCCAGCAGCCGCGGUAAUUCCAGCUCCAAUAGCGUAUAUUAAAGUUGUUGCAGUUAAAAAGCUCGUAGUUGAAUUUCGGGGUUCUACCGUUGGUCGGGCUAUUGUCUGUACUGGCGUGUAGAAUUUCUACCUUCUGGAGAACUAUCAUGUUAUUAAUUUAGCGUGGUAGGAAGCCAGGACCUUUACCUUGAAAAAAUUAGAGUGUUCAAAGCAGGCUUAUGUCUGAAUACAUUAGCAUGGAAUAAUAAAAUAGGACGGUGGUCCUGUUUUGUUGGUUUCUGAAUCACCGUAAUGAUUAAUAGGGAUAGUUGGGGGCAUUAGUAUUCAAUUGUCAGAGGUGAAAUUCUUGGAUUUAUUGAAGACUAACUACUGCGAAAGCAUUUGCCAAGGAUGUUUUCAUUAAUCAAGAACGAAAGUUAGGGGAUCGAAGACGAUCAGAUACCGUCGUAGUCUUAACCAUAAACUAUGCCGACUAGGGAUCGGACGAUGUUAACUUUUCUUGACUCGUUCGGCGCCUUACGGGAA
Molecule: ribosomal RNA, 539 nt
Filed under: uncultured Glomeromycotina
Lineage: Eukaryota; Fungi; Glomeromycota
Description: SSU rRNA
Rfam family: Eukaryotic small subunit ribosomal RNA
Source: RNAcentral